This 380-nucleotide ribosomal RNA is filed under the name uncultured bacterium. RNAcentral describes it as "bacterial SSU rRNA". It matches the Rfam family "Archaeal small subunit ribosomal RNA", at positions 474 to 853 of the family's 1478-position model. The record is from RNAcentral.
UACCGGCGGCUCGAGUGGUGGCCACUAUUACUGGGCUUAAAGCGUCCGUAGCUUGAUUGUUAAGUCUCUUGGGAAAUCCACCGGCUCAACCGAUGGGCGUUCAGGAGAAACUGGCAAUCUAGGGACCGGGAGAGGUGAGAGGUACUCCAGGGGUAGGAGUGAAAUCCUGUAAUCCUUGGGGGACCACCUGUGGCGAAGGCGUCUCACUAGAACGGCUCCGACAGUGAGGGACGAAAGCUGGGGGAGCAAACCGGAUUAGAUACCCGGGUAGUCCCAGCUGUAAACGAUGCGCGUUAGGUGUAUCGGUGACCACGAGUCAUCGAGGUGCCGAAGGGAAACCGUGAAACGUGCCGCCUGGGAAGUACGGUCGCAAGGCUGAA